AAACUUUCAACAACGGAUCUCUUGGUUCUGGCAUCGAUGAAGAACGCAGCGAAAUGCGAUAAGUAAUGUGAAUUGCAGAAUUCAGUGAAUCAUCGAAUCUUUGAACGCACAUUGCGCCCUCUGGUAUUCCGGAGGGCAUGCCUGUUCGAGCGUUAUUU
Molecule: ribosomal RNA, 158 nt
Filed under: Diaporthe foeniculina
Lineage: Eukaryota; Fungi; Ascomycota; Sordariomycetes; Diaporthales; Diaporthaceae
Description: 5.8S ribosomal RNA
Rfam family: 5.8S ribosomal RNA
About the family: 5.8S ribosomal RNA (5.8S rRNA) is a component of the large subunit of the eukaryotic ribosome. It is transcribed by RNA polymerase I as part of the 45S precursor that also contains 18S and 28S rRNA.
Source: RNAcentral